Molecule: transfer RNA, 75 nt
Filed under: Micrococcales bacterium
Lineage: Bacteria; Bacillati; Actinomycetota; Actinomycetes; Micrococcales
Also listed under: 2 other names
Description: tRNA-Ile
Rfam family: tRNA
About the family: Transfer RNA (tRNA) molecules are approximately 80 nucleotides in length. Their secondary structure includes four short double-helical elements and three loops (D, anti-codon, and T loops). Further hydrogen bonds mediate the characteristic L-shaped molecular structure. tRNAs have two regions of fundamental functional importance: the anti-codon, which is responsible for specific mRNA codon recognition, and the 3' end, to which the tRNAs corresponding amino acid is attached (by aminoacyl-tRNA synthetases). tRNAs cope with the degeneracy of the genetic code in two manners: having more than one tRNA (with a specific anti-codon) for a particular amino acid; and 'wobble' base-pairing, i.e. permitting non-standard base-pairing at the 3rd anti-codon position.
Source: RNAcentral
GCGCCUAUAGCUCAGCUCGGUUAGAGCGCUUCGCUGAUAACGAAGAGGUCCCUGGUUCAAGUCCAGGUAGGCGCA